CUGGCAGCCCUGCCCCCCAGGCACCUAUGGCCCUGAGCUCGGGCUGAGCACCCUGCAAGGGUGUCAAGUCUGUGGUGGGGGCAGGUUCUGUCCGGUGGCCAACGCAACAGAAGCCAGUGGACAGUGUUGGGAGGGCUUCUUCUGCACCAGAGGCUCUACCCGACCAAACCCAGAGCCCAGCACUGAAGAGGAAGCCGGCCCUUGUCCUCGGGGAUACUACUGCCCGAGGGGCUCAGCUGUGUCCCAGCCCUGCCCACCUGGUACCUUCAACCCCUGGCUCAAGCUCAACUCUGAGGCUGCCUGCUCCCUGUGCCCGCCUGGCCAUUACUGUGGCUCUGCUGGCCUCACACACCCUUCUGGGCUGUGUAGUGAAGGCUUCUUCUGCCUUGGAGGGGCCAUCACCCCAAACAAAUCCCUGGAAGACAGGACUGGUGGCCCAUGCCCUGCAGGACACUUUUGCCCCCCAGGCACGGCCUCCCCAAAGCCUUGCCCAGCAGGCACUCACAAUACCAGGAUUGCUCAGGGAGGCUGUGAACCAUGUCCCCGGGGAUUCUUCUGCCCAGCCAACACCUCCUCCAUAGUGGGGAAUGAGUGUCCCACUGGCCAUUACUGCCCAGCCUCUACCACCUUUGCUUCACAGUUCCCUUGCCCCAGGGGCACAUACAAUCCACAGAAAGGCGCUAUCCAACAAUCAGACUGCACACUCUGUGAGCCAGGUAAGAGGCAGACACCCAGUGUCCACUUCCCACUGCCACAUUAGGCCAUACCCUCCUUGCCCAGUGAUGAGGAUCCCUGGGCCACAGUCCAAGGCAUUUUAACAGGUGGGGAGAUGCCCAAGUCCUCCACAACC
Molecule: long non-coding RNA, 850 nt
Filed under: Fukomys damarensis (Damara mole-rat)
Lineage: Eukaryota; Metazoa; Chordata; Mammalia; Rodentia; Bathyergidae
Description: lncRNA (ENSFDAG00000032879.1)
Source: RNAcentral